AGUGAACGCUGGCGGUAGGCCUAACACGUGCAAGUCGAACGGCAGCACAGUAAGAGCUUGCUCUUACGGGUGGCGAGUGGCGGACGGGUGAGGAAUACAUCGGAAUCUACUUUUUCGUGGGGGAUAACGUAGGGAAACUUACGCUAAUACCGCAUACGACCUACGGGUGAAAGCAGGGGAUCUUCGGACCUUGCGCGAUUGAAUGAGCCGAUGUCGGAUUAGCUAGUUGGCGGGGUAAAGGCCCACCAAGGCGACGAUCCGUAGCUGGUCUGAGAGGAUGAUCAGCCACACUGGAACUGAGACACGGUCCAGACUCCUACGGGAGGCAGCAGUGGGGAAUAUUGGACAAUGGGCGCAAGCCUGAUCCAGCCAUACCGCGUGGGUGAAGAAGGCCUUCGGGUUGUAAAGCCCUUUUGUUGGGAAAGAAAAGCAGCAGGUUAAUACCCCGCUGUUCCGACGGUACCCAAAGAAUAAGCACCGGCUAACUUCGUG
RNAcentral lists this ribosomal RNA (492 nucleotides) under uncultured bacterium. Its description in RNAcentral is "partial 16S ribosomal RNA". It matches the Rfam family "Bacterial small subunit ribosomal RNA", at positions 29 to 507 of the family's 1533-position model. The record is from RNAcentral.